AAGGGCACCACAAGAACGCGUGGAGCAUGUGGCUUAAUUUGACCCAACGCGGGAAAUCUUACCGGGUCCGGACAUACUGAGGAUUGACAGGUUUUUGUAGAAUAGUAUUUAAUUCGAAUUUAUUCGUUUUUCUACUUUCUACAUUAAAGAUGCUAGUCCUUUCAUGAUUGUGUGAUAGGUGGUGCAUGGCCGUUCUUAGUUCGUGGAGUGAUCUGUCUGCUUAAUUGCGUUUCAUAUAAAAGGACUUAAUUAAUAUUGCCUUGUUUCCUACACUUUGUCCUGGUUAUUUGAUCGUCCGUGUGCUUGCAUUUGUUCUUAGCUCGUUUUGCAUAUGCUUUUUCUUUGCAUUUUUUUGGCAACUUGUUUUAUGAUUAGGUUGUUUGAAUUUCUUAAUUGAUUUUCACCCUCUUUGUAUUUCAUUUUGUUUGUAAACUUGUAUUUGUUUCUUGCAGCAAUUCUUGAUGUUUGAGGCAUUUGCGCUAAUCGGAUUUGUAUCUAUUUCCAUUCCAAAGGGACUUUGUGUUUAGGACAGGUGAUUUAUUUUAUAACAGUCCUGAAGGCAACGAACGUGACCG
This 575-nucleotide ribosomal RNA is filed under the name Foraminifera environmental sample. Its description in RNAcentral is "partial small subunit ribosomal RNA". It matches the Rfam family "Eukaryotic small subunit ribosomal RNA", at positions 1160 to 1432 of the family's 1831-position model. The record is from RNAcentral. Lineage: Eukaryota; Foraminifera.